This is a long non-coding RNA of Amblyraja radiata (thorny skate), 940 nucleotides long. RefSeq lists it as uncharacterized. The transcript is spliced from 4 exons. The record is from RefSeq and is a predicted model, not a curated record. Lineage: Eukaryota; Metazoa; Chordata; Chondrichthyes; Rajiformes; Rajidae.
ACGGUUGAAUUUGUCCACCCACCCAUUAAAAAAGGGAAGAAAGGGGUGUAAGUGGAUUACAACUGCCAAUCCGGACUAAACAGAGAACAAAAACUAUUAGAGGUUUUAAAAAACCUUGAGGCACUGAAAUCAUUUUUGUUUAUUUGCUUUCCAUGUUAAGUUAAAUAUCUGUCUACAUUAAUCAUUAAUGAACCUGUAGCAGCUUGCCCAAUAAACCUUCCUUAAUGAACAGCAGCGAGAGCAGUGUUAUCAUAACUGUGGCUUUGUUAACAAACAGAAAUAGGCCUUUCUACUCUGCUGAAUGCAAAGUUCUUAAAUAUUGGGGAGGAGCUGUGGAUCUGCUAUGGACUACCAAACCCAGUGGAAAAUGCUGCAAUAUGCUGUGGCAGAACUGAUGACAAGGAGGAAAGAUUUCUGGAAGAUGAAAAGCAAAUGCUCAAUUAUCAGCAAGAACAUCGGUAUAUUUGUUUUGCUCAAGCAUACUGUUAAGAUGCAGUCUGACCUCCCUGAGUUCGUCCAGCAGUUUGUUUUUUACUUAAGAUUCGGUCUCUCGUGUCUGUACAACAUGGAUCAGGCCACCUGCCAUAGUUGGCCAAAAGAAACAGUCUUUCAUCUUGACAAAUACUCAAAGGAUUUUUGUCCCAUCCUCCAACCAAGUAAACUGAGGUGGCUGAUUUAACUGCCGUGGAUCACUGUCAAAGCAGGAUGAACCUGAUAAUCAUAUUAUGCACAGAACAUUGUUGAAAUAAAUAUGGUUAAACAGGUUAUUCAGCUUUCCCCUCUGCUUGCAAUGAAAGUCUCUAAAAAAUGUGUUGGAAUGUUCCAAUUUAUUUAUUCUCCCGCAAGGACCUGGAGUUUACUUUAUUUCAGAGGCAAGGCUAUUUUAUGUUGUGUCGCUUUUCGCAUUUGAACGGAAAUAAAAGUUUCCCUCACUAUCUCA